Molecule: ribosomal RNA, 383 nt
Filed under: Deois flavopicta
Lineage: Eukaryota; Metazoa; Arthropoda; Insecta; Hemiptera; Cercopidae
Description: partial 16S ribosomal RNA
Source: RNAcentral
CUGCCAUGAGUUUAAUUUUAAUGGCCGCAGUAAUUUGACUGUGCAAAGGUAGCAUAAUAAUUAGGCUUUUAAUUGGAGUCUGGUAUGAAUGAUUGGAUGAGAAAAUAACUUUCUUUAAUUUUUUAUUUGAAUUUAAUUUUUAAGUGAAAAAGCUUAAAUAUUUUUAUGGGACGAUAAGACCCUAUAGAGCUUUAUAAUUAUUUUUUAUCAUUUUUGUUUUAUAAUUUUGUUAUUUUAUUGAUUAUUUUGUUGGGGUGAUAAUUAAAUUUUUAAAACUUUAAUUUUUUUUUUCAUUUAUUUAUGUUAUUUUUGAUCUUUUAUUAUUGAUUUUAARAUUAAGUUACUUUAGGGAUAACAGGACCUUUUUUUAAUAUGUGUAAUCC